Molecule: ribosomal RNA, 354 nt
Filed under: uncultured bacterium
Lineage: Bacteria
Description: partial 16S ribosomal RNA
Rfam family: Bacterial small subunit ribosomal RNA
Source: RNAcentral
CCUACGGGAGGCUGCAGUAGGGAAUAUUGCACAAUGGGGGAAACCCUGAUGCAGCAACGCCGCGUGGAGGAUGAAGGUUUUCGGAUUGUAAACUCCUUUCGUUAGAGAAGAUGAUAACGGGUACUAAAGUAUAAGCCCCGGCUAACUACGUGCCAGCAGCCGCGGGAAUACGGAGGGUGCCAGCGUUACUCGGAAUUACUGGGCGUAAAGAGCGCGUAGGCGGGCUAGCAAGUCAGUUGUGAAAUCCUCGGGCGUAACCCUAGAACUGCCUUUGAAACUGUAAUUCUGGAGUAUGGGAGGGGUAGGUGGAAUUCCUGGUGUAGGGGUAAAAUCCGUAGAGAUCAAGAGGAAGAC